GCUGUAUGUUUCCAGGUUCCAAAGAACACUCCACUUUCCAAGCAUUUGGUUCUGUCAUAUUUACACAUAAAAGCUGACCAUGACCACCGUAAAUGCCCCUGUGUGUCUCCUUGCUCGGAAUGAGUUUUAUCGGAGCAUCUGCCCGACAGACAAAAUGAAGGCAGUCAGUAGUCUUUCUGAUAACUUAAUGGAACCAAAGCAAAGACAAGUGACUAUCUGGGUGACCAAAUUCAAGCACCAAGGAUUAGGGCCAUGGACAAUAAAUGUGGUUUUAAAGGGCCCGGCAUCCAGAGGAACCUCUUCCAAACGACAAAGUCCUGCUGAUCGUGUGGUGAAGUAGACACCUGCACUAGAAUAGCAUAUAGAGCUCUGGAAAAAAACAACAACAAAAAAAAAAAACGCUUCUCUACAGACACAGUAUGUUAAUGUGCUGCUUAAAAGUGCUGCUCCAAUAAUUAUUCUUUUUUUUUUUUUUAGAGGCUUUUUCAUGCUAGAGAAUAUUUAUUUUUAGUUGAUUCGCUAUCUUUCAGAAGUUUGGUGUUAUUAAGUCUCUUAUGUUCACCAAGACUGCAUUUAUUUGAUCAAAAAUACAGUAAAAAUCAUAACAUUGUAAAAUAUUAUCAUAAUUUAAAAGAAGUGUAUUCUAUUUGAAUAUAUUUUCAAAUGUAAUUUAUUACUGUGAUGCAAAGCUGAAUUUUCAGCAUCAUUACACCAGUCUUUAGUGUCACAUGAUCUUUCAGAAAUAAUUCUAAUAUGCUGAUUUGCUGCUCAGGUAACAUUUAUAAUCUGUGUUGAAAACAGUUGUGCUGCUUAUUAUUUUUGUGGACACAAAGCUCAAAAGAGCAGCAUUUGUUUGAAAUGUAAUUUGUUUUUGUAACUUUAUAAAUCAGUAUUAAUUUAGAAAAAUAAAAAAAUGUGAAAAAAAUUCUUACUGACCCCAAAAUUUUGAACAGUACUGUAAUUGUACUGUAUGAAUAUCCAUAUAGCCACACACUGCAUUUAUUCUGCCUCACUUUACGCAAGGCCAGUCCCCACCACCAGUAUGAGACAAAGUACUCCUAAAAGAACAAACUGGAGAAAUUGCAGCUAACAAUAUGUUGGCUUAGCUUGCUGUUAAAAGAUCCAAACUUUUAAGAGAGCCAUCGUUUAUUUGCUUUUUUUCACGAACGUUAGAUGGACCAACCUGAUCUGUAAUAUGUGUUUUGACAUAUAAUACUGUUAGAUUUAAUUGUCAAGAUUAACUUGACAAGGCAUUGAAAGUUUUGGAAAGCUUUUACCUUUCAAAUACAUAGAAACAUUUUCUAUUGCCUACAUAGAAAAUAGCCAAUAUGGCAACUGAUUAAACUGAUUAGUCAAUUACAGAUUUUCACACCCCUCAAUUCUACCCAUAAAAAGUACAUUCAAUUUCUUUUCAUCGUCAAUAAACUACCAAUCACAUCACUUGUCACAGUCUCUUAGUUGGGAACUGUCGCUACAAACAAAGGGGAAGUGAUGUCGGGAAAAAGAACAGAGUCAGCAUGCCACAAAGAGGCUUUUUCAUGUAUCCAGCCAACCAUCAGAACUUAGUGACCUGGAAAAUCCAUGUCCACAGGGGAACAAAGCUGUACAACGUCAUCUCUAGCGAGCAAUUUUCCAUAUGGACUGUUUCCCAUAUUCACUGUUUCUGUGUUUGGUCUACCACCCACACUGCUUAUUUUGAAGAUGUUCUGUCCUUUUUGGUUUACACCAAAAGUAUGAAAUAGGUGUCAUCUGUUCAGAACACAAUGCAUUAAUUUUGCAAAAUGCCUGUAAAAUUGUUUAUUCUUCUCAA
Molecule: long non-coding RNA, 1810 nt
Organism: Onychostoma macrolepis
Lineage: Eukaryota; Metazoa; Chordata; Actinopteri; Cypriniformes; Cyprinidae
Exons: 3
Source: RefSeq, a predicted model, not a curated record